Molecule: long non-coding RNA, 825 nt
Filed under: Sinocyclocheilus grahami
Lineage: Eukaryota; Metazoa; Chordata; Actinopteri; Cypriniformes; Cyprinidae
Description: lncRNA (ENSSGRG00000007805.1)
Source: RNAcentral
CGAAAAAGAACUUGAUAUAACUUUUUUGCUCUAUGGCGGUGGAGGAGUUAUGGGAUGAAUGUCAGUUCAACGGAUAUUUGUUGUUGAACGUGAACGUAUGUGGGACUUGAGGCUGUGAGUAUGGCCGGUUCUGGACGAUGAAAGUUCGUGAGAUGAAGUUAUAAUAACCGACUGUCACGGAAAUCGCAAGCGAAUCUACUGGGAAGAAAAAAGUUUAAAGAGAUGAGCAAAUAAUAACCUGCAAGAGCGAUGCGGAGAUAAGAAAAUGAUCCAUGCAAAUGUGAUACUUCAGCUUGAGGAUAACUUUUAAUUCUUUAUUGUAAUAAAAGUAAGGCGCACGAAGGAAAACGCGGAUCGUGCACCGUGACAUUCUGGAAAAGCUUCCAUGAGUUUUAAACGGAGCCGAUAUUGAGAAGUGAGAGAGAGUCAGUGAUAUAUCUGUAGCCGGCCUCGGUCGUACUUUUCUCGGAGUGAGCGAUGGGGGCCGCGCCGGGCUCGGGAUGGGAGGAGGGAGAGUUCGAGUUCAAGCUCGUGUUCGAGGAGGAUCCGCCGCGCCAGAGCCGCCGCUGCGGCCCAGAAGAGACCGAGAGCGGCCAGACGCACCAUGAGCCAGCCGGUACCCACUUGACUUCCGCACAGGCUGGCCAACCCGUGGGUAUCCCACCGUCAGCCGGUCGCAGGGCUGGGAUGCAUUCCCCACCCCCCAGGCGGGCAUUAGUCAGGGAGUUCAGUGGGACUUAUGAGAGUCUGCCAGCAAGAUCAAUACAGGUAUCAGAGUCUAGAGUGCUUGAGUGCCCCAGCAUCCAGAUCACCACUAUCUCCCCU